RNAcentral lists this ribosomal RNA (497 nucleotides) under uncultured bacterium. Its description in RNAcentral is "partial 16S ribosomal RNA". It matches the Rfam family "Bacterial small subunit ribosomal RNA", at positions 28 to 507 of the family's 1533-position model. The record is from RNAcentral.
GAUGAACGCUGGCGGCGUGCCUAAUACAUGCAAGUCGAGCGAACGGACGAGAAGCUUGCUUCUCUGAUGUUAGCGGCGGACGGGUGAGUAACACGUGGAUAACCUACCUAUAAGACUGGGAUAACUUCGGGAAACCGGAGCUAAUACCGGAUGAUAUUUUGAACCGCAUGGUUCAAAAGUGAAAGACGGUUUUGCUGUCACUUAUAGAUGGAUCCGCGCUGCAUUAGCUAGUUGGUAAGGUAACGGCUUACCAAGGCAACGAUGCGUAGCCGACCUGAGAGGGUGAUCGGCCACACUGGAACUGAGACACGGUCCAGACUCCUACGGGAGGCAGCAGUAGGGAAUCUUCCGCAAUGGGCGAAAGCCUGACGGAGCAACGCCGCGUGAGUGAUGAAGGUCUUCGGAUCGUAAAACUCUGUUAUUAGGGAAGAACAUAUGUGUAAGUAACUGUGCACAUCUUGACGGUACCUAAUCAGAAAGCCACGGCUAACUACGUG